RNAcentral lists this transfer RNA (74 nucleotides) under Stygiolobus azoricus. RNAcentral describes it as "tRNA-Ile". It matches the Rfam family "tRNA". Rfam says of the family: Transfer RNA (tRNA) molecules are approximately 80 nucleotides in length. Their secondary structure includes four short double-helical elements and three loops (D, anti-codon, and T loops). Further hydrogen bonds mediate the characteristic L-shaped molecular structure. tRNAs have two regions of fundamental functional importance: the anti-codon, which is responsible for specific mRNA codon recognition, and the 3' end, to which the tRNAs corresponding amino acid is attached (by aminoacyl-tRNA synthetases). tRNAs cope with the degeneracy of the genetic code in two manners: having more than one tRNA (with a specific anti-codon) for a particular amino acid; and 'wobble' base-pairing, i.e. permitting non-standard base-pairing at the 3rd anti-codon position. RNAcentral also lists the same sequence under 6 other names. Lineage: Archaea; Thermoproteati; Thermoproteota; Thermoprotei; Sulfolobales; Sulfolobaceae. The record is from RNAcentral.
GGGCCCGUAGCUUAGCAUGGUAGAGCGCCCGGCUGAUAACCGGGAGGCCGUGGGUUCAAGUCCCACCGGGCCCA